Molecule: long non-coding RNA, 2273 nt
Filed under: Triticum aestivum (bread wheat)
Lineage: Eukaryota; Viridiplantae; Streptophyta; Magnoliopsida; Poales; Poaceae
Description: long non-coding RNA (TAES_LNC027559)
Source: RNAcentral
AUUUGUACAGGUGGUGUUCAUCCUGGACUCCUGGUUCUCAAUCUGCUUAUAUUUUGUUAUGGGUAACUUUCACUUGACAAUGUCCAAGGAUGCCGUCCAGGUAAAUUAGCUCCAUUGGGCUAUCAUCUCUUCAUGUUUUCAGAUGAGUGAAGUGCACUGUAGGUCCUUAAACUAUUUCAGGGGUGUCACAUAGGUCCUCGAACUAUGAAAAUCGUCAUUUAGGUUCUCGAAAUACAGUAAGUGUGUCAUCCAGGUCCAAAAUCUCACUAACCCCCUCUAAAUGGCCAGCUGGCAUGGUGAACAGUGCGAAAAAUAAAAAAAUAUGAACAAAAAAAAUCUGAAAAUCUUUGGCAUCAAAGAUACCCCUGGUGCGUGAAUAGUAAAAAUGUUCAUUAAUUCAAAAAAAUGUUCGCGAAUAUGGGAAAAAUAUUCGUGACUUUAAAAAAGUUCACAAACAAUAAAUUUGAAAAUAUGUUCGCGAACCACAAAUAUUGUUCGUGGGUAUGGAAAAAAUGUUCGCGAACCACAAAAAUUCCUGACUUUUUAUUAAAAAAUGUCAGUGAACUUUUUAUUAAAGUCGCAAAUAUUUUUUCCGAAUUCAUCGUUCGCGAACAUUUUAUUAAAGUCACGAAUAUUUUUCCAAAUUCAUCGUACGCGAACAUUUUUUUAAAGUCAUGAAUAUUUUUUUCCAAAUUCAUCGUUCGCAAACUUUUUUUAAACUCGCGAAUAUUUUUCCCAAAGUCAUCGUUCGCUAACAUUUUUUUAAAGUCGUGAAUAUUUUUUCCAAAUUCAUCGUACGCGAACUUUUUUUAAACUCACGAAUAUUUUUUUAAAGUCGCGAAUAUUUUUUUCCAAAUUCAUCGUUCACGAACAUUUUAUUAAAGUCACAAAUAUUUUUCCAAAUUCAUUGUUCGCGAACUUUUUUUGAAUUAAUGACAUUUUUACUGUUCACGUGCCAGGGUCUCUUUGAUGACAGAGGAUCUCAGUUUUUUGAUUUUUUUUAUAUUUAUUCUUUGUCGUGUACUGUUCAUCACGCACAGGAAUUCAGGACUGUUUGCCGCGUACUGUUACGGUUACUGUUUAUGUGCCAGCUGGCCAGUUAGAGUCUGUCAGGGAGAUUUUGGACCUGAAUGACACACUUACUGCACUUUGAGGAUCUAGAUGACGAUUUUCAUAGUUCGAGGACCUACGUGACAUCCCUGGAAUAGUUCAAGGACCUACAGUGCACUUCACUCUUUUCAGAUUAUACAUUUGACCUUCAAAAGAAUGGACUCCUGGUUAAAUCUUGGGAGUAUGGUUAUAUUUUGGUUUGGAAAAAAAAUUCACUUGAUAAUCUGCAAUGGCUGCCGGUGAGGUAAAUUAGUUCCGUGGGCUUCCAUACCUCAUCUCUUCAUACUUUCAGAUUAUGCUUUUGAUCUUCAAAAUGAUACAUAUUUAAAUCAUUAAGCUGAGUUCACUAGCAUGCUAGAUUUUGAAUAGCAAUGCUUUACACGUAAACUACAACUAGAUGGUUCCUGAAGGGAGUUCAUCCGAUCAUUAGGGCAGCUCUAGAAUCUCAACCUUUCUGAUCUUACACUAAUUUGACAACUACUAAUUUGAUAAGCUUGGGAGGUGUUUCAGGCCUGUGUAGUUUUACCUCCCUCCGUCCCCAAAAAAGUGACUUUAUACUAAUUUUAGUACAAAGUUGAGUCACUUAUUUUGGGACGGAGGGGGUAGUAUUUUCUUAGUCUUCCAAUACAUGAAAAAUAUUAUUUACUUAACCUAAAAUCAUGGAGAUAUGGCCUACUUGUAUCAGUUAAUUUUGUGCUUCUGAUUGCUGUCGAGUAAUACAACAUUUGUCAGGUUUAUUUUCCUGUGACUAUUUUGCCUGUUAUUCUAAUAACGUUGUUGUUACUAAACAUCCAUCUUUAGAUUUGGACGCUCUUCAAUACUACGUUGGGUACCCCUUUCCUGCCCUCGGAGUUUUAGACUGUUCAACUAAGGUAUUUGCCACUUAAAUCAUGCUGCAUCAUAGACACAGGAACUUUAAAAGUACAAAUUGCUAACUGUUACUUAUUUCUUAUGACAUACCGUAGAUGGCCCUCCUGUCUGGAUUAUCAAGACUUCACCACGCCUCCACGGUAGCCACUCCAUUAUACAUAAUAUAUAUCUCUUAAAUAUAGAUUAGCUAAUGUCAGUUUCACUUUUCCUUUUUUAACAAAUAUAAAGAUUAGUUCAUGCAAUUUCAAACUUCCAUGUUUCGUGCAUGUAUAUAUUUAUGAAAAAUAUUCCUA